RNAcentral lists this transfer RNA (71 nucleotides) under Bacteriophage sp. RNAcentral's name for it is "tRNA-Gln". It matches the Rfam family "tRNA". Rfam says of the family: Transfer RNA (tRNA) molecules are approximately 80 nucleotides in length. Their secondary structure includes four short double-helical elements and three loops (D, anti-codon, and T loops). Further hydrogen bonds mediate the characteristic L-shaped molecular structure. tRNAs have two regions of fundamental functional importance: the anti-codon, which is responsible for specific mRNA codon recognition, and the 3' end, to which the tRNAs corresponding amino acid is attached (by aminoacyl-tRNA synthetases). tRNAs cope with the degeneracy of the genetic code in two manners: having more than one tRNA (with a specific anti-codon) for a particular amino acid; and 'wobble' base-pairing, i.e. permitting non-standard base-pairing at the 3rd anti-codon position. The record is from RNAcentral.
UCUCCUAUAGUGUAAUGGUAGCACGACAGUUUUUGGAGCUGUUCGAUAUGGUUCGAGUCCAUAUAGGAGAA